This 960-nucleotide ribosomal RNA is filed under the name Lonchodes brevipes. RNAcentral's name for it is "SSU rRNA". It matches the Rfam family "Eukaryotic small subunit ribosomal RNA", at positions 420 to 1320 of the family's 1831-position model. The record is from RNAcentral. Lineage: Eukaryota; Metazoa; Arthropoda; Insecta; Phasmatodea; Lonchodidae.
GGAAGGCAGCAGGCGCGCAAAUUACCCACUCCCGGCACGGGGAGGUAGUGACGAAAAAUAACGAUACGGGACUCAUCCGAGGCCCCGUAAUCGGAAUGAGAACACUUUAAACCCUUUAACGAGUAUCCAUUGGAGGGCAAGUCUGGUGCCAGCAGCCGCGGUAAUUCCAGCUCCAAUAGCGUAUAUUAAAGUUGUUGCGGUUAAAAAGCUCGUAGUUGGAUGUGUGUCCCACGCUGUCGGUUCACCGUUCGUCGGUGUUUAACUGGCAUGCCCGUGUGGACGUCCUGCCGGUGGAUGCGGUCGGCCGUGGGCUUCGGUCUGCGCGCCGGCGGUCCGAUGCAAUCCUACCGCGGUGCUCUUCACCGAGUGUCGAGGUGGGCCGGCACGUUUACUUUGAACAAAUUAGAGUGCUCAAAGCAGGCAGUGGUUCGCCUGAAUAUUGUGUGCAUGGAAUAAUGGAAUAGGACCUCGGUUCUAUUUUGUUGGUUUUCGGAACUUGAGGUAAUGAUUAAUAGGGACAGAUGGGGGCAUUCGUAUUGCGACGUUAGAGGUGAAAUUCUUGGAUCGUCGCANGACGAACCUAAGCGAAAGCAUUUGCCAUAAAUGUUUUCAUUAAUCAAGAACGAAAGUUAGAGGUUCGAAGGCGAUCAGAUACCGCCCUAGUUCUAACCAUAAACGAUGCCAGCUAGCGAUCCGCCGAAGUUCCUCCGAUGACUCGGCGGGCAGCUUCCGGGAAACCAAAGCUUUUGGGUUCCGGGGGAAGUAUGGUUGCAAAGCUGAAACUUAAAGGAAUUGACGGAAGGGCACCACCAGGAGUGGAGCCUGCGGCUUAAUUUGACUCAACACGGGAAACCUCACCAGGCCCGGACACCGGAAGGAUUGACAGAUUGAGAGCUCUUUCUUGAUUCGGUGGAUGGUGGUGCAUGGCCGUUCUUAGUUGGUGGAGCGAUUUGUCUGGUU